This is a long non-coding RNA of Morus notabilis, 426 nucleotides long. RefSeq lists it as uncharacterized. The transcript is spliced from 2 exons. NCBI's taxonomy places the organism in Eukaryota, Viridiplantae, Streptophyta, Magnoliopsida, Rosales, Moraceae. The record is from RefSeq and is a predicted model, not a curated record.
AAAAAAAUAUUAUGGCCUUCAUCAAAGUUUCUGUUUUGUUGUUGCUGCUGUUUGUUGUGCUUGUUGCUCCAAUAGUUGAUGCUGGAGACCUUUCUGGGGUUUCUAAUGAUCAUCACUCUCUUGGUAUACCGAAAAGCUUCUGCUCAAACUGCGAGUGCAAAGGAAAACAUGGAAACAAAAAAUGCUAUCGGACAGACAUGAAGGUUGGCUGUUGCCCAUUGGUUUGCGGGUCAAAUUGUAUGUGUGAUAAAAAGCAACCACCGAUGUGCCAGUGCACAUACGAGGUUGACACAUGCAACCCUAAAGUAUGCAAGGACUGAGAAUCUUCUCCUCAUAAAUAGGCUUGUAAUAUAUUACUACCAAGUCAUAGAAAACUUGGAAUAAAUAAUGAGAGCUUGCGCCCCCAUAUAUGGCCGCAAUUACUAA